UUAAAAUCGUGAAUACAACUGUCGUAUUAAAGCGUCUUUUGCCUAGUUUAACAAGCAGCGACAAUUACGCUAUGGCUACAACUUGACAUUUCUUUUUCCCCAAAUCGUUGUCGCAUUUCCCGUGCGUUGUUCUGACGCAUUCUUUUAAUUAGUGUGAAAGCUACGGCCGCAACGAGAUACAGGUAUGAAAUUUUAGCAAACAUGAAAUUCAAAUGAAGUCGUCUCGGAGAAUUUUACAAACCACGCCGAUCGUGGCGAGGCAGCGUCGUCAAGCCAGAUUAUAGAAGACGAAGAGUGAUUACGUUCCAGCUGCCCAUCAGCCAAUUUUACAUGCCAGUAAUUCCUACCAUGGAUUUGGAAAACGAUUCGCGCGAUUUUAAUGCCGCCACACGGCUUCGCUCAGUAUUUUUCACAAAUUUGUGGUUCAGUUAAUUCCACAGUUUUUCGACUAACCCCGUGAAACAUGACGUGUACCAAACGUGAGAAUCCCAGUCUAUCUGCAAUGUAUAUACAAUACUUUAUUUUGUUGUUGUUGUUAGACCUAUCGCCGGGUAUGAUACAGAAUGUAAG
This 570-nucleotide unclassified non-coding RNA is filed under the name Bombus terrestris (buff-tailed bumblebee). RNAcentral describes it as "misc RNA ENSBTSG00005025935.1". The record is from RNAcentral. Lineage: Eukaryota; Metazoa; Arthropoda; Insecta; Hymenoptera; Apidae.